This is a long non-coding RNA of Pseudopipra pipra, 348 nucleotides long. RefSeq lists it as uncharacterized. The record is from RefSeq and is a predicted model, not a curated record. The transcript has 2 exons. Lineage: Eukaryota; Metazoa; Chordata; Aves; Passeriformes; Pipridae.
CUGCCUAUCCCUCCUGAAGAGUCCAUAACAGUUCAACAGGGUGCUCCAGUCACAGGUCUUAUCCCACCAGGUGUUACUUAUGCCAGUGAUGUCAAAUCUCUGGGACUCAGCUGAAGCUUUGAGCUCCUCCCGUUUGUUCCUCACACUGAGUGCACUAGUGUAGAAAUAUUUCAGAUAUAGCUGCCUAUUUCUGAGGAAAAUGGAUCUUCAAAACAUGUCUUGCUGGAGAAAGAAGCAUUUAAUUUUUUUAAGGAAGCUCAUUUGUCUACUUGGAAAAAACAUACAAACUCUCACUGCAAAAGCAAUUAGAAGACAAAAUAAGCACUAAGAAUUAAGGUACUACCUUAA